Schistosoma rodhaini is the source of this 45-nucleotide non-coding RNA. NCBI's taxonomy places the organism in Eukaryota, Metazoa, Platyhelminthes, Trematoda, Strigeidida, Schistosomatidae. The record is from Rfam.
AUCCAGUUGAUGAGUCCCAAAUAGGACGAAACGCGCGUCCUGGAU